GGCGCACGGGUGAGUAACGCGUAUGCAACUUACCUAUCAGGAGGGGGAUAACCCGGCGAAAGUCGGACUAAUACCGCAUGAAGCAGGGGCCCCGCAUGGGGAUAUUUGCUAAAGAUUCAUCGCUGAUAGAUAGGCAUGCGUUCCAUUAGGCAGUUGGCGGGGUAACGGCCCACCAAACCGACGAUGGAUAGGGGUUCUGAGAGGAAGGUCCCCCACAUUGGUACUGAGACACGGACCAAACUCCUACGGGAGGCAGCAUG
RNAcentral lists this ribosomal RNA (260 nucleotides) under uncultured bacterium. Its description in RNAcentral is "partial 16S ribosomal RNA". It matches the Rfam family "Bacterial small subunit ribosomal RNA", at positions 97 to 353 of the family's 1533-position model. The record is from RNAcentral.